UCCAUUUAGACAUUUCACCAUUGGUGGUUGAAGAAGCUCAAGAAGAUGAGAAAGUGUAACCACUUUCUCCCAAGACUCCUUCAUAACCCAAACUCGAAUGCCUCGAAUGCCUGUAAUUUGAUCAUUAAAACAUAGCACACAAAGGAAACCACCAAGCACAUCCACAAUGCCAUACAUGUCUUGAUCACAGGGAAGCUCAAUCCUUCCAAACACCUCAUUCUUCAAGUCCAAGAAAAU
RNAcentral lists this long non-coding RNA (237 nucleotides) under Salvia miltiorrhiza (redroot sage). RNAcentral's name for it is "long non-coding RNA (SMIL_LNC002467)". Lineage: Eukaryota; Viridiplantae; Streptophyta; Magnoliopsida; Lamiales; Lamiaceae. The record is from RNAcentral.